RNAcentral lists this ribosomal RNA (245 nucleotides) under uncultured bacterium. RNAcentral's name for it is "partial small subunit ribosomal RNA". It matches the Rfam family "Bacterial small subunit ribosomal RNA", at positions 26 to 285 of the family's 1533-position model. The record is from RNAcentral.
AGAAUCAACGCUGGCGGCGUGCCUAACACAUGCAAGUCGAACGAGAAAGUGGAGCAAUCCAUGAGUAAAGUGGCGACCGGGUGAGUAACACGUGACUAACCUACCUUCGAGUGGGGGAUAACCUCGGGAAACCGAGGCUAAUACCGCAUAACAUCGCAAGAUCAAAGCAGCAAUGCGCUUGAAGAGGGGGUCGCGGCUGAUUAGCUAGUUGGCGGGGUAACGGCCCACCAAGGCGAAGAUCGGUA